RNAcentral lists this ribosomal RNA (254 nucleotides) under uncultured bacterium. RNAcentral describes it as "partial 16S ribosomal RNA". It matches the Rfam family "Bacterial small subunit ribosomal RNA", at positions 524 to 776 of the family's 1533-position model. The record is from RNAcentral.
UACGUAGGGGCCUAGCGUUGUCCGGAUUUAUUGGGCGUAAAGAGCUCGUAGGCGGUUUGGUAAGUCGGGUGUGAAAUCUCCCGGCUCAACCGGGAGGGUGCGCCGAAUACUGAGGGACUUCGAGUGCGGGAGAGGAAAGUGGAAUUCCUGGUGUAGCGGUGAAAUGCGUAGAUAUCGGGAGGAACACCGGUGGCGAAGGCGGCCAUCUGGCCCAUUUUUGACGCUGAGGCGCGAAAGCGUGGGGAGCAAACAGG